UGGCCUACGGGGGGCAGCAGUGGGGGAUAUUGCACAAUGGAGGGAACUCUGAUGCAGCGACGCCGCGUGAGGGAAGAAGGCUUUCGGGUUGUAAACUUCUUUUCUCAGGGACGAAGAAAGUGACGGUACCUGAGGAAUAAGCCACGGCUAACUACGUGCCAGCAGCCGCGGUAAUACGUAGGUGGCAAGCGUUAUCCGGAUUUAUUGGGUGUAAAGGGCGUGUAGGCGGGAGCGCAAGUCAGAUGUGAAAACUCAGGGCUCAACCCUGAGCCUGCAUUUGAAACUGUGUUUCUUG
RNAcentral lists this ribosomal RNA (295 nucleotides) under uncultured bacterium. RNAcentral describes it as "partial 16S ribosomal RNA". It matches the Rfam family "Bacterial small subunit ribosomal RNA", at positions 335 to 644 of the family's 1533-position model. The record is from RNAcentral.